Molecule: ribosomal RNA, 253 nt
Filed under: uncultured bacterium
Lineage: Bacteria
Description: partial 16S ribosomal RNA
Rfam family: Bacterial small subunit ribosomal RNA
Source: RNAcentral
UACGGAGGGUGCGAGCGUUGUCCGGAAUUACUGGGCGUAAAGUGUGCGCAGGCGGCCGAGUAAGUCGAGUGUGAAAGCCCCGAGCUUAACUUGGGAACUGCGCUCGAAACUACUUGGCUAGAGUGUGGCAGAGGGAGGUGGAAUUCCACGUGUAGCGGUGAAAUGCGUAGAGAUGUGGAGGAACACCGAUGGCGAAGGCAGCCUCCUGGGCCAACACUGACGCUCAUGCACGAAAGCGUGGGGAGCAAACAGG